This 1126-nucleotide long non-coding RNA is filed under the name Taeniopygia guttata (zebra finch). RNAcentral describes it as "lncRNA (ENSTGUG00000029389.1)". The record is from RNAcentral. Lineage: Eukaryota; Metazoa; Chordata; Aves; Passeriformes; Estrildidae.
CUCAGCAAGAGAUUUAAAAUAAAAUAAAUUUGUAAUUAAUGAAUAAUCAAGAAUAUCAAUGUUCCUUACACUCUAGUUAAACAUACGUGGCAGCUUUGAUUUUUGUAUGGAGGCGUCUUUAUUGUCACUUCAGUAGUUUUCUUUUUCUAAAACAUCCCUACCGGGCACUUUCAGAGCAUUUGACUGGCAGUGCCUGCCUGUGCAUGCCCACUGGAAAUGCUGAUCUUCUGAGUAAGAGCUGAGCUGGUGGACACUGGCUUUGAAUCACCAAGUGUUACUUGUUCAUCAACAUUUUGCUGCUGCCUUCUCUUGACCCUUCAGGUGCUCCUCCCAGUGUGACUUGCCUCAGUCUCUCUUCCUCUUCCCAAAUAGGAAGCCUCUCUUCCUCUUCCUCUCAAAUGGGAGUCUGGUCUUCCAUUUUCACUCCUCCUCCCUUUACUUUCCCACAAGCCACAUUUUUUCGUGCUCUGUCAUGCAGGGCUGGGAGUGCAUCCAGCCUCUGCACAUCCAGGGCCUGGUCACAGCCUCCUGUUGUCACCUGCAAUGUUGUGCUGGGCUACCUUGGCAGUGGGAGACAGCACACGCAGGCUGCAUUCAUCCUCAAGCCCUUGUCUUCAUGAAAAAGUGUAGCCAUUGAAAAUAGCAGGGCAAUUGAAGAAGUGUUGUACUCACACAAGUGAUGCAAUUCUUGUUAAGUGUGCUUAUGUUGCUACUGAUUUUCACACAAGAAGGGCGAUGCAGAUGGAUGUUAUUAGAAAGGUUUUUACUUCGAAUGUGCAUGGCUUGUCCACAUGGCUGAGAUUAGUUCUCAAUACUCACAUAAAGCUUUUCAUCCUCAAAAGGACUUUACAAGCUCCAGCCCUCAAAAUGCCCCCGCAAGAACACUUUGACAUUCUAUCUUAUCUCUCUCCUAUUUGCCUGGGAAAGCUAUCUGGCCCCACAAAGUACUCUGGAGAAAAAGGAAAAUUAUUGGAUGGUUUCUUCCUGGAAGAAUAGAUGGAACAGAAAUUGAUGGAGUCUGGUAUCACUAAUUUGUAAGUAACAAAAAUACCAACUUUUACAGAAUUCACUGAACUUAAAGCUGGUUCUAUUCAUUUAAAUUGGUACCUAGUACUUGUCACAUUAU